CAAGGAAUAGUUUAAGUAGAAUUCUAGCUUUGGGAGUUAGGGGUAGGGGUUAAACUCCUCUUUCUUUGA
Molecule: transfer RNA, 69 nt
Filed under: Aphyosemion cameronense (Cameroon killifish)
Lineage: Eukaryota; Metazoa; Chordata; Actinopteri; Cyprinodontiformes; Nothobranchiidae
Description: tRNA-Pro
Rfam family: tRNA
About the family: Transfer RNA (tRNA) molecules are approximately 80 nucleotides in length.
Source: RNAcentral